RNAcentral lists this ribosomal RNA (456 nucleotides) under uncultured bacterium. Its description in RNAcentral is "bacterial SSU rRNA". It matches the Rfam family "Bacterial small subunit ribosomal RNA", at positions 58 to 507 of the family's 1533-position model. The record is from RNAcentral.
CAAGUCGAGCGGAUGAGUGGAGCUUGCUCAUGAUUCAGCGGCGGACGGGUGAGUAAUAUAUCGGAACGUGCCCAGUCGGUGGGGGAUAACGGUAGCGAAAGUUACGCUAAUACCGCAUACGAUCUAAGGAUGAAAGCGGGGGGAUCGCAAGACCUCGCGCGAUUGGAGCGGCCGAUAUCAGAUUAGGUAGUUGGUGGGGUAAAGGCUCACCAAGCCAACGAUCUGUAGCUGGUCUGAGAAAACGACCAGCCACACUGGAACUGAGACACGGUCCAGACUCCUACGGGAGGCAGCAGUGGGGAAUUUUGGACAAUGGACGCAAGUCUGAUCCAGCCAUUCCGCGUGCAGGAUGAAGGCCCUCGGGUUGUAAACUGCUUUUGUACGGAACGAAAAGGUUUCUAUUAAUACUAGGAGCUCAUGACGGUACCGUAAGAAUAAGCACCGGCUAACUACGUG